GACGAACGCUGGCGGCGUGCCUAAUACAUGCAAGUAGAACGCUGAAGGAGGAGCUUGCCCUUCUGGAUGAGUUGCGAACGGGUGAGUAACGCGUAGGUAACCUGCCUGGUAGCGGGGGAUAACUAUUGGAAACGAUAGCUAAUACCGCAUAAGAGUAGAUGUUGCAUGACAUUUACUUAAAAGGUGCAAUUGCAUCACUACCAGAUGGACCUGCGUUGUAUUAGCUAGUUGGUGGGGUAACGGCUUACCAAGGCGACGAUACAUAGCCGACCUGAGAGGGUGAUCGGCCACACUGGGACUGAGACACGGCCCAGACUCCUACGGGAGGCAGCAGUAGGGAAUCUUCGGCAAUGGACGGAAGUCUGACCGAGCAACGCCGCGUGAGUGAAGAAGGUUUUCGGAUCGAAAAGCUCUGUUGUAAGAGAAGAACGAGUGUGAGAGUGGAAAGUUCACACUGUGACGGUAUCUUACCAGAAAGGGACGGCUAACUACGUG
This 495-nucleotide ribosomal RNA is filed under the name uncultured bacterium. Its description in RNAcentral is "partial 16S ribosomal RNA". It matches the Rfam family "Bacterial small subunit ribosomal RNA", at positions 28 to 507 of the family's 1533-position model. The record is from RNAcentral.